This 253-nucleotide ribosomal RNA is filed under the name uncultured bacterium. RNAcentral's name for it is "partial 16S ribosomal RNA". It matches the Rfam family "Bacterial small subunit ribosomal RNA", at positions 524 to 776 of the family's 1533-position model. The record is from RNAcentral.
UACAGAGGUCCCAAGCGUUGUUCGGAUUCAUUGGGCGUAAAGGGUGCGUAGGUGGCGCCGUAAGUCAGGUGUGAAAUCUCGGGGCUUAACUCCGAAACUGCAUUUGAUACUGCGGUGCUUGAGGACUGGAGAGGAGACUGGAAUUUACGGUGUAGCGGUGAAAUGCGUAGAUAUCGUAAGGAAGACCAGGGGCGAAGGCGGGUCUCUGGACAGUUCCUGACACUGAGGCACGAAGGCCAGGGGAGCAAACGGG